ACUCAAACCUGCUGCAGGUUCGAGUUGAGCGCAGCGAAACAACGGAGCCGCUCGCGGCGACGGCCCGAAGGGCGAGCGAAGCGAGUCAUCCUGCACGACCCACCA
Molecule: small RNA, 105 nt
Filed under: Escherichia coli
Lineage: Bacteria; Pseudomonadati; Pseudomonadota; Gammaproteobacteria; Enterobacterales; Enterobacteriaceae
Description: partial RtT sRNA
Rfam family: RtT RNA
About the family: This family represents a bacterial cis-regulatory element known as RtT RNA. The exact function of RtT is unknown although it is thought that it may be involved in changing the cellular response in relation to amino acid starvation.
Source: RNAcentral